This 330-nucleotide ribosomal RNA is filed under the name uncultured bacterium. RNAcentral describes it as "bacterial SSU rRNA". It matches the Rfam family "Bacterial small subunit ribosomal RNA", at positions 568 to 898 of the family's 1533-position model. The record is from RNAcentral.
UGUGUAGGCGGUUGUUUAAGUUUGGUGUGAAAUCUCCCGGCUCAACUGGGAGGGUGCGCCGAAUACUGAAUGACUAGAGUGCGGGAGAGGAAAGUGGAAUUCCUGGUGUAGCGGUGAAAUGCGUAGAUAUCAGGAGGAACACCGGUGGUGUAGACGGCUUUCUGGACCGUAACUGACGCUGAAACACGAAAGCGUGGGUAGCAAACAGGAUUAGAUACCCUGGUAGUCCACGCCCUAAACGAUGCACAUUUGGUGUGGGUCAUUCAGUUGAUCCGUGCCGGAGCUAACGCGUUAAAUGUGCCGCCUGGGGAGUACAGUCGCAAGGCUGAA